RNAcentral lists this transfer-messenger RNA (366 nucleotides) under Desulfofustis sp. PB-SRB1. It matches the Rfam family "transfer-messenger RNA". Rfam says of the family: Bacterial tmRNA, also known as 10Sa RNA or SsrA, is named for its dual tRNA and mRNA-like properties. Its role is to liberate the mRNA from a stalled ribosome. RNAcentral also lists the same sequence under 3 other names. The record is from RNAcentral. Lineage: Bacteria; Pseudomonadati; Thermodesulfobacteriota; Desulfobulbia; Desulfobulbales; Desulfocapsaceae.
GGGGGCGAAACGGCUUCGACGGGGAUGUGCAAGCUCAUCGUUGCAUGCCGAGCUUCUGUCGGCUCGUAAAAACGGCGGAACCUAAAUAUAAUCGCAGACGAUUAUAACUACGCAGUAGCAGCGUAACAGCUGUCAUACUGCCGUCCCACCGGCUGCCGCCCUUGCGGCCGGAUUAGGGGCGUCGACUCAAGGGGCUGGCCGCUGGGCGGUGCCUGUACGCCACGCGGUAAGAUCUACAAGGGCUAGCACUGGAAGCGCUCUGUUUCCGCGGCAUAUCCAGGGCGAACACCCACGCCGGAAACUAAGCAUGUAGAUACGGGAGGGGAGCAUUCACGGACGCGGGUUCGACUCCCGCCGCCUCCACCA